GAUUUCUGGCUUGAGACCUGCCGCCGGCCACGGUUUCGUGUGUCAGUGCGGUCGGUUCUGGCCAUCCUUCCAGGCGCCGUUGCGUCUACUCUUCACUGAGUGGACCACGACUCUGGAUCGUUUACUUUGAAAAAAUUAGAGUGUUUCAAGCAGGCUCGAUGCUAUGAAUACAUUAGCAUGGAAUAAUAAUUUAGGACUUCGGUUCUAUUUUGUUGGUUUCUAGGACUGAAGUAAUGAUUGAUAGGGAUAGUUGGGGGUGCUAGUAUUCAGCGGCCAGAGGUGAAAUUCUCGGAUUCGCUGAAGACUAACUUAUGCGAAAGCAUU
RNAcentral lists this ribosomal RNA (324 nucleotides) under Bodomorpha sp. RNAcentral's name for it is "SSU rRNA". The stretch from base 109 to 324 matches the Rfam family "Eukaryotic small subunit ribosomal RNA", at positions 739 to 955 of the family's 1831-position model. The record is from RNAcentral. Lineage: Eukaryota; Cercozoa; Glissomonadida; Viridiraptoridae.